GAUGGGAACAGGAGUGGGGUACGCUCACCCCUCCCUUAUGGUCCUGAGGUUGAUGCCCGGCAGAGCCUGCCCUCACCAGUCUUGCACUGAUCACCCCAAGCUCUGAUUCCAGAGUCCCCUGCGACUUCAGAGGCAGUGGGGUGGUGGGUGCCCCAGACUCAGAAGUCCGCCCACGGGUGGCCCAGGCCUGGCAGCAGGGGUGGUCCGGGAUUAUUUGGGGGCAUCUACCUGGAGUAGGGGCCUCCCGAGUCCUCCCUCAGCGUCUCACCUUGACUCCUCCCAGGGCCUGUCCGUUUCCCUCCGCCAAUCCCAAGCUGCCGGUCACACAGAGAAGCUCGCUUCUCUCUAACCCGCAGUGUGGCCUGUCCCGUUUCCCUCCGCCAAUCCCAAGCUGCCGGUCACACAGAGAAGCUCGCUUCUCUCUAACCCGCAGUGUGGCCUGGUCCGCUUCCCUCCGCCAAGCCCAAGGUGCCAGUCAGACAGAGAAGCUCGCUUCUCUCUAA
This 503-nucleotide long non-coding RNA is filed under the name Macaca mulatta (Rhesus monkey). RNAcentral's name for it is "lncRNA (ENSMMUG00000057473.1)". The record is from RNAcentral. Lineage: Eukaryota; Metazoa; Chordata; Mammalia; Primates; Cercopithecidae.